GCUUCUCUAAGAGACACAUUCAUAUUUCACAGAGAGACAGUGGAUCACUGAUGUCAUGACAAAUGAUACCAAAGACAUUUACUAAAUUUAGCAAAAGUAUUUGAUAAAUGUACCAUUACUAUUUGAUAGUGGUUUUAAACUAUAGUAAGGUCGAAAAAACAGGACUGAGAUGAUGAGGAUAUCACUGACAUUCAUUAUUUUCUUAAUGACAGCAACACCACCUCUGUGCACACAAGCCACAAACAAGGAAGAAAAAGGAAAAGAUGCAACUUCUUUAACAGCUGGCAUUGCGGUGGGCUGUGUGGCUUUACUGACAAUUGUGCUUGUGCUGAUACUAUGCAGACACAAACUCCCCAGGACAAAAGCGUGUUGUGCUGCAGAUGAAUCAUCAGAGCUGAGGACAACUGCUGAACAUAACAGAGAGGAAAUCCCUGAAGUUCGACUGUAUGAGGAAAUACAGAUGUCGAACCAGCAGGCAAACUCAGGAAACACUCUGCCAUCCGUCUAUGCCACCAUUAAUCCUCCGGCUGACCCGCUCCACUAUGCAAGCGUCAAUUUUAAGACAGACUCUGACUUGGCAUUGACAGACAAGAAUACUGACACAAAUAAGAACGGAACCUUGGCCAGCGACUACUCCUCUAUAAGUCCAUUUCAGGGUCUCACUCAACCUCCUCCAUUAACAGAGCAGACUCUUUACUCUACAAUCAGAAAGUCUGAGCAAUAAUGAGACAGACUUUCACCUGUUACUGUUGAAGGGACAUUUCACCCCAGAAACUAAAUAUAUAUAUACUUAUUCCCCAUACCUGUAGUGCUGUUUGGGUCAUUCCAGAAGUGGAGGACAUUUAGCCUCAUGGCUAAGUAGUUAUUUAAUGAGACGUAUAUGUGAAUAUUAAUCUUA
Eleginops maclovinus (Patagonian blennie) is the source of this 898-nucleotide long non-coding RNA. RefSeq lists it as uncharacterized. The transcript is spliced from 5 exons. NCBI's taxonomy places the organism in Eukaryota, Metazoa, Chordata, Actinopteri, Perciformes, Eleginopidae. The record is from RefSeq and is a predicted model, not a curated record.